Molecule: ribosomal RNA, 786 nt
Filed under: uncultured bacterium
Lineage: Bacteria
Description: bacterial SSU rRNA
Rfam family: Bacterial small subunit ribosomal RNA
Source: RNAcentral
CAGUCGAACGGAGAGGAAAAAGCUUGCUUUGAUCAUCUUAGUGGCGGACGGGUCAUUAACACGUGAGCAACCUGCCUUUCAGAGGGGGAUAACGUUUGGAAACGAACGCUAAUACCGCAUAACGUAUACGGAUGGCAUCGUCUGUAUACCAAAGGAGCAAUCCGCUGAAAGAUGGGCUCGCGUCCGAUUAGCUAGAUGGUGAGGUAACGGCCCACCAUGGCGACGAUCGGUAGCCGGACUGAGAGGUUGACCGGCCACAUUGGGACUGAGACACGGCCCAGACUCCUACGGGAGGCAGCAGUGAGGGAUAUUGGGCAAUGGGGGAAACCCUGACCCAGCGACGCCGCGUGAGGGAAGACGGUCUUCGGAUUGUAAACCUCUGUCUUUGGGGACGAAAAAGGACGGUACCCAAGGAGGAAGCUCCGGCUAACUACGUGCCAGCAGCCGCGGUAAUACGUAGGGAGCGAGCGUUGUCCGGAAUUACUGGGUGUAAAGGGAGCGUAGGCGGGAAGGCAAGUUGGAUGUGAAAACUGUGGGCUCAACCGACAGACUGCAUUCAAAACUGUUUUUCUUGAGUGAAGUAGAGGCAAGCGGAAUUCCUAGUGUAGCGGUGAAAUGCGUAGAUAUUAGGAGGAACACCAGUGGCGAAGGCGGCUUGCUGGGCUUUUACUGACGCUGAGGCUCGAAAGUGUGGGGAGCAAACAGGAUUAGAUACCCUGGUAGUCCACACCGUAAACGAUGAUUACUAGGUGUGGGGGCGUCAAGCUUCCGUGCCGGAGUUAACAC